RNAcentral lists this unclassified non-coding RNA (1293 nucleotides) under Hevea brasiliensis (rubber tree). The record is from RNAcentral. Lineage: Eukaryota; Viridiplantae; Streptophyta; Magnoliopsida; Malpighiales; Euphorbiaceae.
AGAAAGUAAAUUUUAAGAGAGAGAAACAAAAACAAACCGUCCUCAUGAUGGGCAGCUUCAUGUACAUUGCCAUCCUACUUGCUGCCAUAAUCUCAACCGUCCAUUCCUGCCCGCCAUCAGAUCGGGCAGCAUUAUUAUCAUUCCGAGCUGCCCUAAAUGAAUCUCACUUGGGUAUUUUCAACUCAUGGAAAGGCAACGACUGUUGCCAUGAGUGGUACGGGGUGAGUUGUGAUCCCACAACUCACCGCAUAGCAGAUAUAAACCUUCGAGGUGAAUCCGAAGAUCCACUCUUUGAAAAAGCUCAUCGUACCGGUUACAUGACCGGUACGAUAUCUCCAUCUAUAUGCAAAUUAGAAAGGCUAUCAAGUCUCACCAUAGCUGAUUGGAAAGGCAUUACUGGAUCUAUACCUUCAUGUAUUACAUCCUUACCAUUCCUUCGAAUCAUAGACUUAGUCGGAAACAAGCUCACCGGCUCAAUCCCUUCAACUAUAGGUCGAUUAAGUCGACUCACUGUAUUAAACGUAGCUGAAAAUCAACUUACAGGGUACAUACCCCGGUCAUUAACCAACUUAUCCUCAUUAAUGCAUUUAGAUCUCCGAAACAACGGUAUCUACGGUAACAUCCCGACUAAUUUCGGAAAAUUACGGAUGUUGAGUCGAGCUUUACUGAGUCGAAACAAGUUAACAGGUCCUAUACCGUAUUCGAUUUCGUAUAUUUACAGGCUUUCAGAUUUGGAUCUGUCAUUGAACAAACUGUCUGGUACCAUACCUCCGUCUCUUGGUAAAAUGCACGUACUUGCAACGUUAAAUCUUGAUGGUAACCAUAUUUCUGGUACGAUACCUCCUAGUUUGAUGAAUUCACGUAUCAACAUUUUGAAUUUGAGUAAAAAUGCUAUGGAAGGUUAUAUUCCCGAUUCAUUUGACGAAAAAUCUUAUUUUAUGGUAAUGGAUUUAUCUUAUAACAAAUUAAAAGGAAGCAUUCCAAAAUCGAUAUCGUCGGCGACGUUUAUCGGUCACCUUGAUGUAAGUCAUAACCAUCUUUGUGGACAGAUUCCAGAAGGUUCUCCGUUUGAUCAUCUGGAAGCUUCAUCUUUUACUUACAAUGAUUGUCUAUGUGGGAAGCCUCUUAAACCUUGUCGCUAAAGUGUAGGUAUUAUUUUUUUAAAAUUUUUUUUUUAUUAACACUAUAUAUUGGUGAAUAUGUUUGUAUUAUUAUGUGAAGAGUAAAGUGUUUUUUUUAAGCAUAUAGUUGUGAUUUUAAAUGUAUAAUUGUGCUUCGGGAUAUAUGAAGGCG